Molecule: transfer RNA, 62 nt
Filed under: Eucalyptus grandis
Lineage: Eukaryota; Viridiplantae; Streptophyta; Magnoliopsida; Myrtales; Myrtaceae
Rfam family: tRNA
About the family: Transfer RNA (tRNA) molecules are approximately 80 nucleotides in length. Their secondary structure includes four short double-helical elements and three loops (D, anti-codon, and T loops).
Source: Rfam by way of RNAcentral
GGGGAUGUAGCUCAAAUGGUAGAGCAUGCGAGAGGUACAGGGUUCGAUCCCCUGCAUCUCCA